Molecule: ribosomal RNA, 141 nt
Filed under: uncultured bacterium
Lineage: Bacteria
Description: partial 16S ribosomal RNA
Rfam family: Bacterial small subunit ribosomal RNA
Source: RNAcentral
GGGGGAUCCUACGGGAGGCAGCAGUAGGGAAUCUUCCGCAAUGGACGAAAGUCUGACGGAGCAACGCCGCGUGAGUGAAAAAGGUUUUCGGAUCGUAAAACUCUGUUGUUAAAGAAAAACAAGGAUGAAAGUAACUGCCCG